UUUUUUUUGGAAUUUAGAAGUUUGCAACCAAACACGAGCUAGGUGGAGUGAAAUCAAUCGGACGGAAGCCUCCGAACGGUUGCCCGCCGUAAAUAUGUAGACCUAUAUCGCGGAGCCAAAAGGAGGCCUGCGGGGAGCUCCUCAGCUAUUUGUUAGGUUCGAUCACCACUAAAGGCAUAUUUGCUUGAAGUGCAGCUUUCGGAGCUUUUUUAAAAAAACUUGCAGCUAGCUUUUUCUCUUUUUAAAAACCAAUAACAACUUUUAGACGAUGUUUCCAACUUUUUGAGCUUAAAGAAACUAAAAACUUCAUAUAGAAUUCAGCUUUUCUGAACUUUUAACUUUCAAAAACUGCACGAGAAAUUCAUUGUUCGAGCUUCUGAAUUUUCAUAUUGAAAAACUAUCCAGAAGCUCAGACAAUUAGAUCUAGUUCCUACCAACACCGGCCCAUAAAGCAUCGCUCAAAAUCAAAUCUACGUUGGGAAUAAUCUUUCCCCACAUAUCAGUUUUUCUUCGAGAACGUUUUGGAAUCUAGUGGCUAAUGCGUACGAAUUUUGACAAAUUUUCGAUCAAAUUUCACCCUUCUUAAAUGCGAGCAGCAUGUUUUCUUUCAUCUGACACGCCUGAUCUUUGGAAGUGAAGAUGUGAUGCGUCAGGCUUAUGGACCAGGGUGUAAGCACGUCAUCAUAUUGUAUUGGUCGUUACUCAGUUUCUCCUCACUGCUUUAGAGGACCGGCGGCACAGAGCAGUGAAGAUCUUUUAAAGUGAAGCCAAUCGAUGAGUGAUGCUGGUUGCUCGCCGCCGCCGCCAUCUUUCCUUCGCCUUCCCUAUGGAGGAUACUUAGCCUGAGAGUGAGCAGUCCAGCGUUUAACACCUGUUAAUUUGUAUUUUCCCCCUUUAAGAUUCUGUUCAUCAGGGAACUCUCAUCUCUUCACCGGUUGAAUUGUCUUUUUUUUCUCUCUAUGAGAUUCUGUCCACAGGGCAUGUUGUUGUCGACAGGCACACGUACCACUGAAAGACAAGCACCGGUUAAAUAUUAUUCAUCAUAGCAUUUUCAUAUCUUUGGUCAUCAUAUUACUCAUUAAAUUAUCAUUUUUUUGAGAUUCUAUUCAUCAGGGCACCUUGUUGUCGAAGAGCAGAUAUCCUCCCAAUAAUGUUACACAAAUAUUUGAUUCUAGGCUAUAUGGACUACCUAGAAAGAUUAUAUACCAAGUUUUGAUUUGGAAUUUUCUACUCUAAUGUUACACAAAUAUUUUGGAUCUUUGUGUGACCCAUUAUUUGUGUUGAUAUUCUCAGGACUAUUUCUUGAUAUUUCUAUUAAUUAAAUUCACAGCUGCACAAAAUUCAUAUUUUUAUUAUUCUUUACAGUGAAUUGGUAAUUUCUACAUCUGAUGAGAUUGCAAUGGCAAUUGGAAGUGAACCCUGGACCAAUAUGAUAUCUGAUGAGCUAAUAUGGAUGCAAUCUCCCUGUCAAGUGGCUUUCAAUGGCUACUUGAUGACCUCGGGACCCAAAUCAAGGUUGCAGAAGCAGUUCUGAAAAGGGCAGGCAACUACACUCAUGAAGAGGACAUCCAACUGUGUAUCUCAUGGGAAAAUAUUAGCAUUGAUCAUAUCGUUGGCAAUGAGCAGACAGGGAGAGCAUUGAUCAAACACCUUUUUCUGGACUGCCCCUAUGCGAGAAUGGUUUGGAGGAUUAUCUUUUAUGCUACAUGUUUGAUGCCACCUAGAUCAAUUGGCCAUAUGUUUGACUCAUGGCUUUCUAAUCAAUCUAAAAAUAUUAGGAACUUGAUUUGAGUCGGAGUUGCUGCUGUAUGCUGGGCCAUUUGGAGAUGACGAAACGAUAUUAUUUUUAACAAUAUCAAAGUUGGUUCGAUUUUGCAGGUUAUCUUCAGGGGAACGUAUUGGCUACGGUUCUGGGCGCAGCUGCAGCGUGACGAGCACGCUAAGAACGCACUCUCCAAGAUGAGCAGAAACAUAGAGAUUAUUGCUACGGGCUAGUAAAAGGAGGGUGGAAGCAAAACUAUUUUUUUAUAGUAGUUCUUUGUCUGAGUUGGAGACUAGUUGUGCUCUUCUUUCUUUGUAAACCUUGUAAUAAUUGGCUGUGUACAUCCACGGAUGUAUAGGCCGGAUUCGUAAUCCUUUUUCUAAAAAGGGAGAGCAUAUUGGAAAAGAACUGCAUAUCAUUACCAUGCAAACAAGACCUCUGAGUCUGAUAGGAAUGCAAACUCCCUUGAAUAUCAUUGGAGUACCAUUCACAUGGAGUGCAUAAGUUUCAAGGAUUCUAUGAUGAGAUUGAGCGUCACCAUCCAAGUGGCAUACCGUACAAGGAGCAUAUUCUUGAAGCACAAAUAUUGUUUGCAAAGGGUCCACUAAAACAGUCCUAGUUCCUUCAUUAUUGGCUCAAGGUGUGGCAUUGUUAGAAGUUCCAAGCAAUAGAGAACAACAAAAGGUCACAAAGUAACAUUUCUUCCUAUAGAGCUAUUGAAGGAGAAGGUGGAGAUGAUAGUUGCAGGAGUUAUUCAACAGAACCUAACCAAAAGAAGAGGCCAAUAGAAAGAAAUCUAGCAAAGAAGAGGUUGAAGACCGAAGGUGAUGCAGGACCAUAUAGAGAAGCCAUUGAAGAGUUGAUAUUGGGCAAGAAGGAGGAUAAGAAACUAAGGAAGAUCAGGUGGGAGGAAGAAAAAAAGCUAAAGGAGGACAAGUGGAAGGAGACAAAAGAUGAUUCACCAGCAAAAGAUAUCAUUGAAAAAGGAAAACUUGAUGUGGGAACAAGAAUAGAAAAUCAUGUUCUAUUAUAAAAGUACUUUGGAUCCAGAUCAGAAGACAUAUAUGUUGGCAAUGAGGGUACAAAUUGCAGCACAAAAGAUGGCCUUCAGUGCUGGGUUUAGCAGAGGGUUCGCGCUUCUAGUGAUGUUAGUGGAGUUUGGAACAAGGGAACCAACAACUUCAAGUGCCUUCUGAACUAUAUGGUCCAAUUAUUGCCUUUCUGAUGAAAUACUGCCUUGCUGGUGAACUAUAUUCUCAUUUAUUUGGUGAAA
This is a long non-coding RNA of Panicum virgatum (switchgrass), 3035 nucleotides long. RefSeq lists it as uncharacterized. The transcript is spliced from 3 exons. NCBI's taxonomy places the organism in Eukaryota, Viridiplantae, Streptophyta, Magnoliopsida, Poales, Poaceae. The record is from RefSeq and is a predicted model, not a curated record.